Molecule: transfer RNA, 69 nt
Filed under: Marmota marmota marmota (Alpine marmot)
Lineage: Eukaryota; Metazoa; Chordata; Mammalia; Rodentia; Sciuridae
Also listed under: 1 other name
Rfam family: tRNA
About the family: Transfer RNA (tRNA) molecules are approximately 80 nucleotides in length. Their secondary structure includes four short double-helical elements and three loops (D, anti-codon, and T loops).
Source: Rfam by way of RNAcentral
GGGGUUGUAGCUCAGUGGUAGAGCACUUCCCUAGCACAUAUGAGGAACUGGGUUUGAUUCUCAGCUCCA